CCUACGGGAGGCAGCAGUGGGGAAUAUUGGGCAAUGGGCGCAAGCCUGACCCAGCAACGCCGCGUGAAGGAAGAAGGCUCUCGGGUUGUAAACUUCUUUUCUGCGGGACGAAGAAAGUGACGGUACCUCAGGAAUAAGCCACGGCUAACUACGUGCCAGCAGCCGCGGUAAUACGUAGGUGGCAAGCGUUAUCCGGAUUUAUUGGGUGUAAAGGGCGUGUAGGCGGGAAAGCAAGUCAGAUGUGAAAACUCAGGGCUCAAACCUGAGCCUGCAUUUGAAACUGUUUUUCUUGAGUGCUGGAGAGGCAAUCGGAAUUCCGGGUGUAGCGGUGAAAUGCGUAGAUAGACGGAGGAACACCAGUGGCGAAGGCAGAUUGCUGGACAGUAACUGACGCUGAGGCGCGAAAGCGUGGGGAGCAAACAGGAUUAGAUACCCUAGUAGUC
RNAcentral lists this ribosomal RNA (443 nucleotides) under uncultured bacterium. Its description in RNAcentral is "partial 16S ribosomal RNA". It matches the Rfam family "Bacterial small subunit ribosomal RNA", at positions 338 to 795 of the family's 1533-position model. The record is from RNAcentral.